RNAcentral lists this ribosomal RNA (1492 nucleotides) under uncultured rumen bacterium. RNAcentral's name for it is "bacterial SSU rRNA". It matches the Rfam family "Bacterial small subunit ribosomal RNA". The record is from RNAcentral.
AGAGUUUGAUCCUGGCUCAGGAUGAACGCUAGCUACAGGCUUAAUACAUGCAAGUCGAGGGGCAGCAUGGGAUUAGCUUGCUAAUCCCGAUGGCGACCGGCGCACGGGUGAGUAACGCGUAUCCAACCUUCCCCUUACUCUGGGAUAGCCCGGUGAAAACCGGAUUAACACCGGAUGGUUUCAUUAGAUGGCAUCUGACGAUGAAUAAAGGCUUACGGUAAGGGAUGGGGAUGCGUCUGAUUAGCUUGUUGGCGGGGUAACGGCCCACCAAGGCAACGAUCAGUAGGGGUUCUGAGAGGAAGGUCCCCCACAUUGGAACUGAGACACGGUCCAAACUCCUACGGGAGGCAGCAGUGAGGAAUAUUGGUCAAUGGGCGAGAGCCUGAACCAGCCAAGUAGCGUGCAGGACGACGGCCCUAUGGGUUGUAAACUGCUUUUGUGCGGGAAUAAAGUCAGGGACGUGUCCCUGUUUGCAUGUACCGCAAGAAUAAGGACCGGCUAAUUCCGUGCCAGCAGCCGCGGUAAUACGGAAGGUCCGGGCGUUAUCCGGAUUUAUUGGGUUUAAAGGGAGCGCAGGCCGGCGAUUAAGCGUGACGUGAAAUGCCGCGGCUCAACCGUGGAAGUGCGUCGCGAACUGGUUGUCUUGAGUGCGUACGACGUGUGCGGAAUUCGUGGUGUAGCGGUGAAAUGCUUAGAUAUCACGAAGAACCCCGAUUGCGAAGGCAGCGCACGAGUCCGCAACUGACGCUAAAGCUCGAAGGUGCGGGUAUCGAACAGGAUUAGAUACCCUGGUAGUCCGCACGGUAAACGAUGGAUGCCCGCUGUCGGCGAUAUAAUGUCGGUGGCCAAGCGAAAGCGUUAAGCAUCCCACCUGGGGAGUACGGCCGCAAGGUUGAAACUCAAAGGAAUUGACGGGAGCCCGCACAAGCAGUGGAGUAUGUGGUUUAAUUCGACGCAACGCGAAAAACCUUACCGGGACUUGACAUCUGCGGAAGGACCGAUAACGAGGUCUGUGCCCUUCGGGGAACCGCAAGACAGGUGGUGCAUGGUUGUCGUCAGCUCGUGUCGUGAGAUGUUGGGUUAAGUCCCGCAACGAGCGCAACCCUUACCGUCAGUUGCUACGCAAGAGCACUCUGGCAGGACUGCCGUUGACAAAACGGAGGAAGGUGGGGAUGACGUCAAAUCAUCAUGCCCUUUAUGUUCCGGGCCACACACGUACUACAAUGGCGCAAACAAAGGGAGGCGAACCCGCGAGGGGGAGCGAAUCCCAUAAAAGGCGUCCCAGUUCGGAUUGCAGGCUGCAACUCGCCUGCAUGAAGUUGGAAUUGCUAGUAAUCGCAGAUCAGCAUGCUGCGGUGAAUACGUUCCCGGGCUUUGUACACACCGCCCGUCAAACCAUGAAAGUCGGAAACACCCGAAGCCUGUGAGCUGACCGCAAGGGGGCAGCAGUCGAAGGUGGGUCUGAUGAUUGGGGUUAAGUCGUAACAAGGUA